RNAcentral lists this ribosomal RNA (492 nucleotides) under uncultured bacterium. Its description in RNAcentral is "partial 16S ribosomal RNA". It matches the Rfam family "Bacterial small subunit ribosomal RNA", at positions 29 to 507 of the family's 1533-position model. The record is from RNAcentral.
AGUGAACGCUGGCGGUAGGCCUAACACAUGCAAGUCGAACGGCAGCACAGUAAGAGCUUGCUCUUACGGGUGGCGAGUGGCGGACGGGUGAGGAAUACAUCGGAAUCUACUUUUUCGUGGGGGAUAACGUAGGGAAACUUACGCUAAUACCGCAUACGACCUACGGGUGAAAGCAGGGGAUCUUCGGACCUUGCGCGAUUGAAUGAGCCGAUGUCGGAUUAGCUAGUUGGCGGGGUAAAGGCCCACCAAGGCGACGAUCCGUAGCUGGUCUGAGAGGAUGAUCAGCCACACUGGAGCUGAGCCACGGUCCAGACUCCUACGGGAGGCAGCAGUGGGGGAUAUUGGACAAUGGGCGCAAGCCUGAUCCAGCCAUACCGCGUGGGUGAAGAAGGCCUUCGGGUUGUAAAGCCCUUUUGUUGGGAAAGAAAAGCAGCAGGUUAAUACCCCGCUGUUCUGACGGUACCCAAAGAAUAAGCACCGGCUAACUUCGUG